This 281-nucleotide long non-coding RNA is filed under the name Amborella trichopoda. RNAcentral's name for it is "long non-coding RNA (ATRI_LNC000733)". The record is from RNAcentral. Lineage: Eukaryota; Viridiplantae; Streptophyta; Magnoliopsida; Amborellales; Amborellaceae.
GUGGAGUGUGGACUAUAAUAUUAUAAUAAAAUUGGUCCAUGGAAUAAAGUAUUUCACUUUGGAGACACGUUUGUAUUACACCGAAUGAUCUAUAUUACACAUGCUUUUCGAACAAUAAAGAUUGUGGUUGUCUAUCAUAAUCUUGCCUAGGUUUGUAUUUAAGAGCCCAGGAUUGAUUUGGGGUUUAAGAGUAUGAAAAUGGCAUAGCUUGGGAAAUCUAUGAUAGGGAGUGUUCGCUUGGGUUUACCAUUUGAGUUCCAUGGAAAUGACUUUUGUUUGGG